RNAcentral lists this transfer RNA (71 nucleotides) under Camelus ferus (Wild Bactrian camel). It matches the Rfam family "tRNA". Rfam says of the family: Transfer RNA (tRNA) molecules are approximately 80 nucleotides in length. The record is from Rfam by way of RNAcentral. Lineage: Eukaryota; Metazoa; Chordata; Mammalia; Artiodactyla; Camelidae.
GGGUGUAGCUUAGGUGGUAGAGUACAUGCUUAGCAGGCAUGAGGUCCUGGGUUCAGUUCCCAGUACGUCCU